AGCUAAUAGAUACCCAGGUAGUCCCAGCAGUAAACGGUGCGCGUUUGGUGUGAGCAGAUUCGACUCUGUUCGCGCCGGAGCUAACGCGUUAAACGCGCCGCCUGGGAAGUACGAUCGCAAGAUUAAAACUCAAAGAAAUUGACGGGGGCCCGCACAAGCGGUGGAGUAUGUGGCUUAAUUCGAUGCAACGCGAAGAACCUUACCUGGGUUUGACAUGCAUCUCUAAGGAGGUGAAAGCUUCCGAGGGUAGCAAUACCCGAUUUGCACAGGUGCUGCAUGGCUGUCGUCAGCUCGUGUCGUGAGAUGUUGGGUUAAGUCCCGCAACGAGCGCAACCCUUGUAUGCUGUUGCUAUGCUUACGCAUAGCUCUCUGCGUAGACUGCCCCGUGAAACGGGGAGGAAGGUGGGGAUGACGUCAAGUCAGCAUGGCCCUUACACCCAGGGGCUGCACACGUACUACAAUGCUCAGUACAAUUAGAACCUG
Molecule: ribosomal RNA, 483 nt
Filed under: uncultured bacterium
Lineage: Bacteria
Description: bacterial SSU rRNA
Rfam family: Bacterial small subunit ribosomal RNA
Source: RNAcentral